UGAGGAAUAUUGGGCAAUGCCCGCAAGGGUGACCCAGCAACGCCGCGUGGAGGAUGCAUGUCGUAAGAUUGUAAACUCCUGUUAGAGGGGAAGAAUAGUACCGGUUGGACCGGUCUAUGACUGUACCCUCAGAGAAAGCCCCGGCUAACUACGUGCCAGCAGCCGCGGUAAUACGUAGGGGGCAAGCGUUGUCCGGAUUUACAGGGUGUAAAGGGCGCGCAGGCGGGAUAAGAAGUCAGUGGUGAAAUCCUACAGCUUAACUGUAGAACUACCUGUGAUACUUGUAUUAUUGGGGUCGGGAGAGUGAGACAGAAUCCCAGGGGUAGUGGUGAAAUACGUAGAUAUCUGGAAGAACACCAGUUGCGAAGGCGGUCUCUUGGUCCGACACUGACGCUGAGGCGCGAAAGCGU
This 410-nucleotide ribosomal RNA is filed under the name uncultured bacterium. Its description in RNAcentral is "bacterial SSU rRNA". It matches the Rfam family "Bacterial small subunit ribosomal RNA", at positions 355 to 762 of the family's 1533-position model. The record is from RNAcentral.